This 395-nucleotide ribosomal RNA is filed under the name uncultured bacterium. RNAcentral describes it as "partial 16S ribosomal RNA". It matches the Rfam family "Bacterial small subunit ribosomal RNA", at positions 523 to 918 of the family's 1533-position model. The record is from RNAcentral.
AUACGUAGGGUGCAAGCGUUAAUCGGAAUUACUGGGCGUAAAGCGUGCGCAGGCGGUUUUGUAAGACAGAGGUGAAAUCCCCGGGCUCAACCUGGGGACUGCCUUUGUGACUGCCAGGCUAGAGUACGGCAGAGGGGGAUGGAAUUCCGCGUGGAGCAGUGCAAUGCGUAGAUAUGCGGAGGAACACCGAUGGCGAAGGCAAUCCCCUGGGCCUGUACUGACGCUCAUGCACGAAAGCGUGGGGAGCAAACAGGAUUAGAUACCCUGGUAGUCCACGCCCUAAACGAUGUCAACUGGUUGUUGGGUCUUCAUUGACUCAGUAACGAAGCUAACGCGUGAAGUUGACCGCCUGGGGAGUACGGCCGCAAGGUUGAAACUUAAAGGAAUUGACGGGG